CUUCUCGAAGGGAGGGGAAUGCCCCUCUUAGAACUCUAGAUCAAGCUGGACUUUUUCUGUGGAGCAGGAGACUUAUGAUUCCAGAUCCCUGGACAAAGCUUCCAGAGCAAAAUUCAUGCUUUCCUGUCCUAAAGGUAGAAGUUUGUUCUACUUCUUCGAACUUGGGAGAUUCGAGUAAACUUCAGCCUUGCCAGAAACAUCCUUCCUCUGGAAAACUCCAGUAGGCCCUCCCUGCUCACCUUCCUCCAUCUACCUCUCUGCUGCAAGAAGUGUAUGUUUGGCUCCUGCACAAGAAAAUGCACUGGCGUUUUUUUACCAGGGAGUGUCUAGUAAUUUCUAAGUGAGUUUCUGAAACCUCCAAGCUAGACUUUUUUUUUUCCUUAAGCAAAUAAAGCCUGAGAGGUGAAGCAUCUUCAAAGAGUUGUGUGCACUCAGCAACUUUGGUGUGUUAGUUUGUCUUUCAAUCUGCCUUACUCAGGGUACUUAUCUCUUAGAAAGGGAGAUUAUUACCCCCAGACUGGGUUGGAAACCGCUUCGCUGACAGGUUUAAGAGUCUUAACAAUUUAUUUACAGCAGAAAAGGCAAAACUGUGCAAAAUGGCAGACUUCAUUCUCCCUGCAAGGGUCAGCUGGGUGGGGAGGGAAGUGGAAUCAAAAUGGGGAACCUCUCAACUGUGCUCAGAAAGGUUGGGCUUCCUGUGGGAGGGAGGUUGGGGUAGGGGUGAACAUUGGCAUUUCCUCCUGAGCAACCAGUUAUCUCCUUGAAUAGAGACAACUGCUAAACUGACAAGCCCUUCACCGGUAACCGUUGAUCUGGCUUAUGACUCAAGACUUAAAAGAACCCUAGAGUUGUCGCAAUUACUCUUCCUGUUUCUCACACCCAGAAAGCUAGACCAAUAAUAGAAUCACGCCGUUGAGUUUCUCCUGACCUUGCUUUUGGUACCCAGUUGAAGAGUCUUUUCCUUGGACGUGGCAGAAUCUGAACUAUGACUAAUACAUACAGAUUUGCAAGAAGAGGACAAGAGAGUGUGUUUAUGUUUCUCUCUCCCUAGCAGCUCCUCCUAGUCUAAUAUAGGGAAGAUACUAG
RNAcentral lists this long non-coding RNA (1086 nucleotides) under Equus caballus (horse). RNAcentral's name for it is "lncRNA (ENSECAG00000048801.1)". The record is from RNAcentral. Lineage: Eukaryota; Metazoa; Chordata; Mammalia; Perissodactyla; Equidae.